Molecule: ribosomal RNA, 425 nt
Filed under: uncultured bacterium
Lineage: Bacteria
Description: bacterial SSU rRNA
Rfam family: Bacterial small subunit ribosomal RNA
Source: RNAcentral
GGGGAAUAUUGGACAAUGGGCGAAAGCCUGAUCCAGCGACGCCGCGUGAGUGAUGAAGGCCUUCGGGUUGUAAAGCUCUGUUGAGGGAGAAGAAAACAGUUAGAACUAAUAUGUCUAGCUCUUGACGGUAUCCCUUUAGAAAGCACCGGCUAACUCUGUGCCAGCAGCCGCGGUAAGACAGAGGGUGCGAGCGUUGUCCGGAAUCACUGGGCGUAAAGGGCGCGUAGGUGGCUUGGUAAGCGUGCGGUGAAAGCUCGAGGCUCAACCUCGAGUCUGCCGUGCGAACUGCCGAGCUGGAGCACGGUAGAGGCACAUGGAAUUCCGGGUGUAGCGGUGGAAUGCGUAGAGAUCCGGAAGAACACCGGUGGCGAAGGCGGUGUGCUGGGCCGUAGCUGACACUGAGGCGCGACAGCGUGGGGAGCAAA